GCCUUGGUGGUGUAGCGGUCUAGCAUGUAGCCCUGUCACGGCUACGACCCGGGUUCGAAUUCUCCAAGAUCCCGAAGAACUAACGUUCUUCGAGGAAAAGGGAAAGUUCCGAAUAUCCCGGCCAAGGCG
RNAcentral lists this transfer RNA (129 nucleotides) under Candidatus Aenigmatarchaeota archaeon. RNAcentral's name for it is "tRNA-Asp". Lineage: Archaea; Nanobdellati; Candidatus Aenigmatarchaeota. The record is from RNAcentral.